UAAACGACUCUCGGCAACGGAUAUCUCGGCUCUCGCAUCGAUGAAGAACGUAGCGAAAUGCGAUACUUGGUGUGAAUUGCAGAAUCCGUGAACCAUCGAGUCUUUGAACGCAAGUUGCGCCCAAGACCUUCGGGUCGAGGGCACGUCUGCCUGGGUGUCACGC
RNAcentral lists this ribosomal RNA (163 nucleotides) under Moeroris boehmii. RNAcentral describes it as "Phyllanthus boehmii 5.8S ribosomal RNA". It matches the Rfam family "5.8S ribosomal RNA". From Rfam's summary of the family: 5.8S ribosomal RNA (5.8S rRNA) is a component of the large subunit of the eukaryotic ribosome. It is transcribed by RNA polymerase I as part of the 45S precursor that also contains 18S and 28S rRNA. Lineage: Eukaryota; Viridiplantae; Streptophyta; Magnoliopsida; Malpighiales; Phyllanthaceae. The record is from RNAcentral.